UGCUGGAGGUAUCAGAAGUGCGAAUGCUGACAUAAGUAACGAUAAAGCGGGUGAAAAGCCCGCUCGCCGGAAGACCAAGGGUUCCUGUCCAACGUUAAUCGGGGCAGGGUGAGUCGACCCCUAAGGCGAGGCCGAAAGGCGUAGUCGAUGGGAAACAGGUUAAUAUUCCUGUACUUGGUGUUACUGCGAAGGGGGGACGGAGAAGGCUAUGUUAGCCGGGCGACGGUUGUCCCGGUUUAAGCAUGUAGGCUGGUUAUCCAGGCAAAUCCGGAUAAUCAAGGCUGAGGUGUGAUGACGAGGCACUACGGUGCUGAAGUAACAAAUGCCCUGCUUCCAGGAAAAGCCUCUAAGCAUCAGGUAACAUCAAAUCGUACCCCAAACCGACACAGGUGGUCAGGUAGAGAAUACCAAGGCGCUUGAGAGAACUCGGGUGAAGGAACUAGGCAAAAUGGUGCCGUAACUUCGGGAGAAGGCACGCUGGUGUGUAGGUGAAGUCCCUGCGGAUGGAGCUGAGACCAGUCGAAGAUACCAGCUGGCUGCAACUGUUUAUUAAAAACACAGCACUGUGCAAACACGAAAGUGGACGUAUACGGUGUGACGCCUGCCCGGUGCCGGAAGGUUAAUUGAUGGGGUUAUCCGUAAGGAGAAGCUCUUGAUCGAAGCCCCGGUAAACGGCGGCCGUAACUAUAACGGUCCUAAGGUAGCGAAAUUCCUUGUCGGGUAAGUUCCGACCUGCACGAAUGGCGUAAUGAUGGCCAGGCUGUCUCCACCCGAGACUCAGUGAAAUUGAACUCGCUGUGAAGAUGCUGUGUACCCGCGGCAAGACGGAAAGACCCCGUGAACCUUUACUAUAGCUUGACACUGAACAUUGAGCCUUGAUGUGUAGGAUAGGUGGGAGGCUUUGAAGCGUGGACGCCAGUCUGCGUGGAGCCAACCUUGAAAUACCACCCUUUAAUGUUUGAUGUUCUAACGUAGGCCCCUGACCGGGGUUGCGGACAGUGUCUGGUGGGUAGUUUGACUGGGGCGGUCUCCUCCCAAAGCGUAACGGAGGAGCACGAAGGUUAGCUAAUCCUGGUCGGACAUCAGGAGGUUAGUGCAAUGGCAUAAGCUAGCUUGACUGCGAGCGUGACGGCGCGAGCAGGUGCGAAAGCAGGUCAUAGUGAUCCGGUGGUUCUGAAUGGAAGGGCCAUCGCUCAACGGAUAAAAGGUACUCCGGGGAUAACAGGCUGAUACCGUCCAAGAGUUCAUAUCGACGGCGGUGUUUGGCACCUCGAUGUCGGCUCAUCACAUCCUGGGGCUGAAGUAGGUCCCAAGGGUAUGGCUGUUCGCCAUUUAAAGUGGUACGCGAGCUGGGUUUAGAACGUCGUGAGACAGUUCGGUCCCUAUCUGCCGUGGGCGCUGGAGAAUUGAGGGGGGCUGCUCCUAGUACGAGAGGACCGGAGUGGACGCAUCACUGGUGUUCGGGUUGUCAUGCCAAUGGCACUGCCCGGUAGCUAAAUGCGGAAGAGAUAAGUGCUGAAAGCAUCUAAGCACGAAACUUGCCCCGAGAUGAGUUCUCCCUGAGACUUUAAGUCUCCUGAAGGAACGUUGAAGACGACGACGUUGAUAGGCCGGGUGUGUAAGCGCAGCGAUGCGUUGAGCUAACCGGUACUAAUGAACCGUGAGGCUUAACCUU
RNAcentral lists this ribosomal RNA (1675 nucleotides) under Klebsiella pneumoniae. RNAcentral describes it as "bacterial LSU rRNA". It matches the Rfam family "Bacterial large subunit ribosomal RNA", at positions 1271 to 2925 of the family's 2925-position model. The record is from RNAcentral. RNAcentral also lists the same sequence under 1 other name. Lineage: Bacteria; Pseudomonadati; Pseudomonadota; Gammaproteobacteria; Enterobacterales; Enterobacteriaceae.